UACGAAGGGGGCUAGCGUUGCUCGGAAUUACUGGGCGUAAAGGGCGCGUAGACGGACAGUUUAGUCGGGGGUGAAAGCCCGGGGCUCAACCUCGGAAUUGCCUUCGAUACUGGCUGUCUUGAGUACGGGAGAGGUGUGUGGAACUCCGAGUGUAGAGGUGAAAUUCGUAGAUAUUCGGAAGAACACCAGUGGCGAAGGCGACACACUGGCCCGUUACUGACGCUGAGGCGCGAAAGCGUGGGGAGCAAACAGG
This 253-nucleotide ribosomal RNA is filed under the name uncultured bacterium. RNAcentral describes it as "partial 16S ribosomal RNA". It matches the Rfam family "Bacterial small subunit ribosomal RNA", at positions 524 to 776 of the family's 1533-position model. The record is from RNAcentral.